This 258-nucleotide long non-coding RNA is filed under the name Monodelphis domestica (gray short-tailed opossum). Its description in RNAcentral is "lncRNA (ENSMODG00000044162.1)". Lineage: Eukaryota; Metazoa; Chordata; Mammalia; Didelphimorphia; Didelphidae. The record is from RNAcentral.
GUCACAAAGCUAGGAAGUAGCAAUUUUCGAAUCAGAUUCUGAGUCUCCUGAUUCCUCCCUUUGGCAUUCUUCUUUCCACUAGAACACUUGGCACCUAUUGUCUCAGAGCCUGAUUGUAGGCACCCCCAACUAAUUUCUGGUUCCUGAGGUGGACAGGAAGUUGCCUACAGCUGUUUCUGUGAAUGUUUUUGGAGAAGAGGAGGUAACUGACAGAAAAGACUUCCAGCAAUCCUCAGCAAGGGAAAGAAAUUGACAGAC